ACAGAAGACGAAGAGCUGGAAUAGAGCUCGCCUCGGCUCUGCUGGCCUUGGCUGCAGCUCUUCCAGAAACCCGGGGCGCCCACAGAAGAAUCUCUUACCUGGCUCUCUCUUCAGGGAUGACAUCAUCGGCUCACACCAGUCUUCCAGGACCACCUUCUGGAUGCCAAGGCUGCUGCUCGAGUACCUGCUGUGCACCUCUACCUCCUGGUACCCCAGCCACUCCCUCAAGUUGCCUGCAUGUUAUAUGGCCUAGCCAAGGAGCACGGAUUCCAGGAACCCACUACCAUACAGAGCAACUCCUUGUGGACCCCCCUGGGAUCAGGACAGCGAGGGACAAGCGACAAAGAGGAUCAUCAGUGGCCAGCUAGUUUCUCUGGGGUUCAAACCUUGAACCAGUGCCCUAGUGAGGGGGCACUGGCCAUGGCCCUUGACCUUUGCUCUGCUUGUGUCUUGAGUCUGAGCCCUUUCCUGUACAUCUGUGCUCGUGUUCAUCUGCUAGUGAACUGGAGUGCUGCCCUCCCCGAGGAGGGUCGUCCCUUGUGACUGAUCAUGCUGUCCUAACAAUGUCCUGAGCAAAAGGGUCCCUUUGGGAACCUCUCAGGAGGGGGACCCGGGUCAGGGGCGACCAGCAUCUUGCUGGCAACUCCGUGGGUGGGGUGGGGUGGGGUGCUUCCUUCUGGAAUGAGCACGUGGCUGACCCCCCAAGGCAUGUCCCCUCCCCCUCCUCCACCCACCUUCUCGGAGAUGUCCCUUUUGGGGUAGUGGGGACAUUAGGAGCAACCUCCUAGGGUUGUUGUGAGAAUUAAAUGAACUGCAGCAGCCUGAGGCAGGGCUGGGCAGAGACCUCAGCACAUGUUUGUUGAAAGGUUUGCAGGUGGAUCUAGUCCUCCCGUUCAUGGCUCAUGUGUCUCAACCAUUCUCUCGCAGACUCCUGCAGCCCCUAUGCCCAGGGCUCUCCUUGCGCCAGCCCCGGCUUCUCGAGGCCUGUCUACACUCGCUGCUUUCCUUCCUCACCUCCAAUUUCCCCUCCAACCCACUGCUUCCUGACUCGCUCUUCUCCAUCGAACGGCUCUCGCUCAGGCCUGUCGCGUCUUCCUGUGCCAUUUGCUGUUGUGCUCAGGUUCCACGAGCUGCCCAUCUCCACAGAAGAGCAGCUGGCAUUGCCCACCGGCCAUGCCGGCUGAAGAAAAGAAGACUGAGGACCCCAGGAUGCCCAGCGCGAGGACCCCAGGAAGCCCAGCGCGAGGACUCCACCCACGACGCCCAGCGCGAGGACUUCACGCACAACACGUUGCAACCCUCCUGGAUUAGGGUGAGUCACUUGCGCCGGUAAACACAACUUUGUUAGAAUCCACUAACAUUACAUCUUCACUUUAGAAGUUGUACAGGGGGAGGGUGCACCUUACCAAGCGCCGCACACUCGCCUGGACGCUGCCUGGAGCUGAGAGAAAGACUGUUGCCACGAGACAGCACGCGUGGGAGUCCCUCCUGGACCCUGUCUAGCAGGGACCAGAGACGCCAAAGCCAUCAUCUGGAAUCCUGCGUGGGACCCUGGACACACGGACACAGACACCUGCCCCCAGGACCCUCCAACUGUAAAUCCCUCUACAGCCACGGGGACGCCUUGCACAUUUCCUGUGGGACAUGCUGGACCCAAGACUCUGGACCCUGGCCUCCCCUUGAGUAGAGAGACCCACCUACUGACUGAUGAACUGCGCUGACCCUGGGGUCAGGCAUGUGGCCUUGAUCCCUACCCAUGGACCCUGAGACUUGGGGGGGUGGGAGAAAGGCUGUUGUGUCUUCACUGUUGAGUCUACAUCUGUGAAAUGGGCUCAGGUUCCUACCUCACAGGGCUGUUGUGAGGCAGCCGCAAUGUGCUUAGAAGCAUGGGGCCUAGUGGCUCAUGGUGCUUUCAAUAAAUUUCUUGUUUUAAC
Molecule: long non-coding RNA, 1934 nt
Filed under: Mus musculus (house mouse)
Lineage: Eukaryota; Metazoa; Chordata; Mammalia; Rodentia; Muridae
Description: maternally expressed 3
Rfam family: Maternally expressed 3 conserved region 2 (bases 564-665)
Source: RNAcentral